AUCUUUCCAGUUCAUUCACAUGAUGAUUGGUUAUAUCACGGUUCUCCGUGAAAGGCUCAGCCGAUUCCUUGUUACGUUCUGUGCCUUAAACCGUCUGAAC
Small nucleolar RNA from Synchiropus splendidus (mandarinfish), 100 nucleotides. RefSeq annotates it as small nucleolar RNA U13. The transcript has a single exon. NCBI's taxonomy places the organism in Eukaryota, Metazoa, Chordata, Actinopteri, Syngnathiformes, Callionymidae. The record is from RefSeq and is a predicted model, not a curated record.